AAACUAACACAAACUGUAGCUGUCCACAUAGGCCGAGUUGAACUCUAGUCUUCAUAACAAAUAAAUCCAAUCUUCAGACGAAACUGCAAUUUCCAUCCCACUCUCAAUCAAGCGAGAAUGUCACACCUCCAAAGCUCUUCCAAAAGCAGGUCCACCGAACGAGUGCUGAUUGCAGUGCAAUGUUGGAGAUUUAAACCUAAAAGGGUGCGGCCCACUUUCUUAAGAGCAGGCAAGCACUUGUCUGACACCAAAGAGCAACCAGACACGGAAAGGACUUGCAAACUCAGUUGACUAGAACGAGCCAAUGCCAUCAAUCCAAAAUCCGAAAUUGCACAUUUCGAGACAUCGAGAUCAGAUAGCAGUUGGCAAUUUUCUGC
Molecule: long non-coding RNA, 377 nt
Filed under: Eucalyptus grandis
Lineage: Eukaryota; Viridiplantae; Streptophyta; Magnoliopsida; Myrtales; Myrtaceae
Description: long non-coding RNA (EGRA_LNC001515)
Source: RNAcentral